CCUACGGGAAGCAGCAGUGGGGAAUCUUGCGCAAUGGGCGAAAGCCUGACGCAGCCAUGCCGCGUGAAUGAUGAAGGUCUUAGGAUUGUAAAAUUCUUUCACCGGGGACGAUAAUGACGGUACCCGGAGAAGAAGCCCCGGCUAACUUCGUGCCAGCAGCCGCGGUAAUACGAAGGGGGCUAGCGUUGCUCGGAAUUACUGGGCGUAAAGGGAGCGUAGGCGGAUAGUUUAGUCAGAGGUGAAAGCCCAGGGCUCAACCUUGGAAUUGCCUUUGAUACUGGCUAUCUUGAGUGUGGGAGAGGUAUGUGGAACUCCGAGUGUAGAGGUGAAAUUCGUAGAUAUUCGGAAGAACACCAGUGGCGAAGGCGACAUACUGGCCCAUUACUGACGCUGAGGCUCGAAAGCGUGGGGAGCAAACAGGAUUAGAUACCCUGGUAGUCCACGCUGUAAACGAUGAGUGNUAGUGUCGCGAGCGAUGCUCGUCGGUGCGCG
Molecule: ribosomal RNA, 492 nt
Filed under: uncultured bacterium
Lineage: Bacteria
Description: bacterial SSU rRNA
Rfam family: Bacterial small subunit ribosomal RNA
Source: RNAcentral